GACGAACGCUGGCGGCGUGCUUAACACAUGCAAGUCGAACGGAAAGGCCCUGCUUUUGUGGGGUGCUCGAGUGGCGAACGGGUGAGUAACACGUGAGUAACCUGCCCUUGACUUUGGGAUAACUUCAGGAAACUGGGGCUAAUACCGGAUAGGAGCUCCUGCUGCAUGGUGGGGGUUGGAAAGUUUCGGCGGUUGGGGAUGGACUCGCGGCUUAUCAGCUUGUUGGUGGGGUAGUGGCUUACCAAGGCUUGGACGGGUAGCCGGCCUGAGAGGGUGACCGGCCACAGUGGGACUGAGAGACGGCACAGACUCCUAAGGGAGGAAGGAGUGGGGAAUAUUGAAGAAUGGGAGGAAGCCGGAGGCAGCAACGGCGCGUGCGGGAUGACGGCCUUCGGGUUGUAAACCGCUUUCGCCUGUGACGAAGCGGGAGUGACGGUAAUGGGUAAAGAAGCACCGGCUAACUACGUG
Molecule: ribosomal RNA, 468 nt
Filed under: uncultured bacterium
Lineage: Bacteria
Description: partial 16S ribosomal RNA
Rfam family: Bacterial small subunit ribosomal RNA
Source: RNAcentral